RNAcentral lists this ribosomal RNA (253 nucleotides) under uncultured bacterium. Its description in RNAcentral is "partial 16S ribosomal RNA". It matches the Rfam family "Bacterial small subunit ribosomal RNA", at positions 524 to 776 of the family's 1533-position model. The record is from RNAcentral.
UACGGAGGGUGCUAGCGUUGUUCGGAAUUACUGGGCGUAAAGGGCGCGUAGGCGGCCGUUUGCGUCGGAUGUGAAAGCCCGGGGCUCAACCUCGGAACGGCAUUCGAUACGGGAGGGCUGGAGACCGGGAGAGGAGAGUGGAAUAGCCAGUGUAGAGGUGAAAUUCGUAGAUAUUGGCUGGAACACCGGUGGCGAAGGCGGCUCUCUGGCCCGAUUCUGACGCUGAGGCGCGAAAGCGUGGGGAGCAAACAGG